RNAcentral lists this ribosomal RNA (499 nucleotides) under uncultured bacterium. RNAcentral describes it as "bacterial SSU rRNA". It matches the Rfam family "Bacterial small subunit ribosomal RNA", at positions 501 to 1000 of the family's 1533-position model. The record is from RNAcentral.
CUACGUGCCAGCAGCCGCGGUAAUACGGAGGGUGCGAGCGUUAAUCGGAAUAACUGGGCGUAAAGGGCACGCAGGCGGUGACUUAAGUGAGGUGUGAAAUCCCCGGGCUUAACCUGAGAAUUGCAUUUCAGACUGGGUAGCUAGAGUACUUUAGGGAGGGGUAGAAUUCCACGUGUAGCGGUGAAAUGCGUAGAGAUGUGGAGGAAUACCGAAGGCGAAGGCAGCCCCUUGGGAAUGUACUGACGCUCAUGUGCGAAAGCGUGGGGAGCAAACAGGAUUAGAUACCCUGGUAGUCCACGCCCUAAACGAUGUCAACUAGGUGUUGGGUUGUUAAAGACUCGGUACCGGAGCUAACGCAUUAAGUUGACCGCCUGGGGAGUACGGCCGCAAGGUUGAAACUCAAAGAAAUUGACGGGGACCCGCACAAGCGGUGGAGCAUGUGGUUUAAUUCGAUGCAACGCGAAGAACCUUACCUACUCUUGACAUCCAGAGAACAUUC